RNAcentral lists this ribosomal RNA (775 nucleotides) under uncultured Neocallimastigales. RNAcentral describes it as "partial large subunit ribosomal RNA". It matches the Rfam family "Eukaryotic large subunit ribosomal RNA", at positions 22 to 646 of the family's 3401-position model. The record is from RNAcentral. Lineage: Eukaryota; Fungi; Neocallimastigomycota; Neocallimastigomycetes; Neocallimastigales.
GUACACGCUGUGACUAGCAUAUCAAUAAGCGGAGGAAAAGAAACUAACAAGGAUUCCCUCAGUAACGGCGAGUGAAGCGGGAAGAGCUCAAAUUUGAAAUCUUGAAAGGUCACCUUUCACGAAUUGUAGUUUAAAGAAGUGUUUUCUGUUACGAUCGUAAUAUAAGUUCUUUGGAAUAGGACAUCACAGAGGGUGAGAAUCCCGUCUAUGAUUGCGAUUUGUAGCUUUGUGAUACACUUUCAAAGAGUCGGGUUGUUUGGGAAUGCAGCCCAAAACGGGAGGUAAAUUUCUUCUAAGGCUAAAUAUUGGCGAGAGACCGAUAGCGAACAAGUACCGUGAGGGAAAGAUGAAAAGAACUUUGAAAAGAGAGUUAAACAGUACGUGAAAUUGUCAAAAGGGAAGCGUUUGACACCAGUGUUGUUUUCUCGAAAAUCAAUUAAAAAGAGUUGGAUUUUGUGUUGUAUUGACCUUAACAGCUUUCUGCACUCUUUUCCUGCUUUUUUUAAUGCACUUUUCGUUUAACAAGUCAACAUCAGUUUCUUUUGUUGUAAAAGGGUCAUUGGAAGGUGGCUUUCUUUUCGGAGAAAGUGUUUAUAGCCUUUGGCCUCUGCAAUCGAAGAGACUGAGGUCUGCAGCGUAGACUCUUCGGGGUUAGAUACAUUUGUGCUAAGUUAUAGCUUUUUCAUAGACAACUUGUUGACUAUAAUUAGUCAUGUAGCUUACUCGCUUAUGCUAUUUUACCUACGCUUAGGAUGUUGACGCAUGAGAUAUACGC